UUUGCUGCUUGAUUGACACGUACGCUCACUUGCAUAUUUCUGCUAACCAUGGCACCAAGUGAAGUUUGGAAAUAUUUUGAAAAUAAGGCAGUCGAGGGCUUAGCUACUAUAUAGUCUGAACCCUACUGGCAAUAUGUGUUCAACUCCCAACUCUAGCUUCAAUCAAAUAGACAACUUCUUUUAUGACGAGGAAGACGAAAUGUUAGAGGCCUAUUUAUCGCAAGGCGUUCAAUCAAAAAUUUGACAUAGACGUGCUAUCUUACUGGAAAGGAAAGCAGUAUACUGACCAGGAGUUAUACGCAGUUAGUAACGUUUGUUAUGCCGUACCGCCAACUCAGGUGUCGAUUGAACGAGCAUUCUCCACUCUGAGGCUGGUGCUUACCGACUACCGCAAUCGAUUAAGCCAGGAUGUUCUUGAGAACAUAUUGCUAGUCAAAUUAAAUCCCACCUUUUUGGACAUGGCCAUUGAUACUUUG
Drosophila teissieri is the source of this 476-nucleotide long non-coding RNA. RefSeq lists it as uncharacterized. The record is from RefSeq and is a predicted model, not a curated record. The transcript has 4 exons. Lineage: Eukaryota; Metazoa; Arthropoda; Insecta; Diptera; Drosophilidae.